CCUUCGGUGUCCGAGUUGUAAUUUGAAGAAGGUAACUUUGGAGUCAGCUCUUGUCUAUGUUCCUUGGAACAGGACGUCACAGAGGGUGAGAAUCCCGUGCGAUGAGAUGUCUGAUUCUAUGUAAAGUGCUUUCGAAGAGUCGAGUUGUUUGGGAAUGCAGCUCUAAGUGGGUGGUAAAUUCCAUCUAAAGCUAAAUAUUGGCGAGAGACCGAUAGCGAACAAGUACAGUGAUGGAAAGAUGAAAAGAACUUUGAAAAGAGAGUGAAAAAGUACGUGAAAUUGUUGAAAGGGAAGGGUUUGAGAUCAGACUUGGUAUUUUGUAUGUCUUGCUUUCGGGUGGGGCCUCUACAGUUUACUGGGCCAGCAUCGGUUUGGACGGUAGGAUAAUGACAUUGGAAUGUGGCACCACUUCGGUGGUGUGUUAUAGACUUUGUUGAUACUGCCUGUCUAGACCGAGGACUGCGUCUUUGACUAGGAUGCUGGCAUAAUGAUCUUAAACCGCC
This 503-nucleotide ribosomal RNA is filed under the name Scheffersomyces stipitis. RNAcentral's name for it is "eukaryotic LSU rRNA". It matches the Rfam family "Eukaryotic large subunit ribosomal RNA", at positions 128 to 649 of the family's 3401-position model. The record is from RNAcentral. Lineage: Eukaryota; Fungi; Ascomycota; Pichiomycetes; Serinales; Debaryomycetaceae.